GAGCUCAACUUUGGAAUCGCUCCGGCGAGUUGUAGUCUGGAGGUGGCCACCACGAGGUGUUUUAGCAGCAGGCAAGUCCUUUGGAACAAGGCGCCAGCGAGGGUGACAGCCCCGUACCUGCUUUUGCUAGUGCUUCCUGUGGCCCACCGACGAGUCGAGUUGUUUGGGAAUGCAGCUCUAAGUGGGUGGUAAAUUCCAUCUAAGGCUAAAUAUUGGCGAGAGACCGAUAGCGAACAAGUACAGUGAUGGAAAGAUGAAAAGCACUUUGAAAAGAGAGUGAAACAGUACGUGAAAUUGUUGAAAGGGAAGGGCUUGCACCCAGACACGGUUUUACCGGGCCAGCAUCAAGUAGAACGGGGUUAAAAGACCUGGGGAAUGUAGCUACCUCUUGGUAGUGUUAUAGCCCUUGGGUGAUGACCCCCGUUUUGCUUGAGGACAGC
This 440-nucleotide ribosomal RNA is filed under the name Candidozyma auris. RNAcentral describes it as "[Candida] auris partial large subunit ribosomal RNA". It matches the Rfam family "Eukaryotic large subunit ribosomal RNA", at positions 104 to 555 of the family's 3401-position model. Lineage: Eukaryota; Fungi; Ascomycota; Pichiomycetes; Serinales; Metschnikowiaceae. The record is from RNAcentral.